AUUGAACGCUAGCGGGAUGCUUUACACAUGCAAGUCGAACGAGUGGCGGACGGGUGAGUAAUAUAUCGGAAAGUGCCCAGUAGAGGGGGAUAACUACUCGAAAGAGUGGCUAAUACCGCAUACGAUUGGAACGGCCGAUAUCGGAUUAGCUAGUUGGUGGGGUAAAGGCUCACCAAGGCAACGAUCCGUAGCUGGUUUGAGAGGAUGACCAGCCACACUGGGACUGAGACACGGCCCAGACUCCUACGGGAGGCAGCAGUGGGGAAUUUUGGACAAUGGGGGAAACCCUGAUCCAGCCAUCCCGCGUGUAUGAGAAGGCCUUCGGGUUGUAAAGUACUUUUGGCAGAGAAGCGGUAUCUGCAGAAUAAGCACCGGCUAACUACGUGCCAGCAGCCGCGGUAAUUC
Molecule: ribosomal RNA, 405 nt
Filed under: uncultured bacterium
Lineage: Bacteria
Description: partial 16S ribosomal RNA
Rfam family: Bacterial small subunit ribosomal RNA
Source: RNAcentral